AACCUUAUGGACCUGCGGGCGUAUACCUGCGGAGGGAUCAUUACUGAGUCACGUGCUCAAACAACCCUUCUGUGGACCUGAAAUAAAACCGUUGCCUCGGCGGGCGGUCCCCCCCAAACCAACCCCACGUGGUGGGUUAGGGGAGACCAGACAGUCCGGUACGCUUAAGGCGUCCGGCGCCAGCCGCUGGCCCCAAACAAUUAAACUCUAGUAAUCUUUACCUUCUGAAUUUCAAUAUUU
RNAcentral lists this unclassified non-coding RNA (240 nucleotides) under soil metagenome. RNAcentral describes it as "partial contains 5.8S ribosomal RNA, internal transcribed spacer 2, and large subunit ribosomal RNA". The record is from RNAcentral.